UAGGGAAUCUUCCACAAUGGACGCAAGUCUGAUGGAGCAACGCCGCGUGAGUGAAGAAGGUUUUCGGAUCGUAAAGCUCUGUUGUUGGUGAAGAAGGAUAGAGGCAGUAACUGGUCUUUAUUUGACGGUAUCAACCAGAAAGUCACGGCUAACUACGUGCCAC
RNAcentral lists this ribosomal RNA (163 nucleotides) under uncultured bacterium. RNAcentral's name for it is "partial 16S rRNA". It matches the Rfam family "Bacterial small subunit ribosomal RNA", at positions 355 to 511 of the family's 1533-position model. The record is from RNAcentral.